Molecule: unclassified non-coding RNA, 209 nt
Filed under: uncultured Alphaproteobacteria bacterium
Lineage: Bacteria; Pseudomonadati; Pseudomonadota; Alphaproteobacteria
Description: contains 16S-23S intergenic spacer region
Source: RNAcentral
UCGCGGCUUAUCACCGGCAGUCUCCUUAGAGUGCUCAACUAAAUGGUAGCAACUAAGGACGGGGGUUGCGCUCGUUGCGGGACUUAACCCCACAUCUCACGACACGAGCUGACGACAGCCAUGCAGCACCUGUGUACCGGCCUAUUGCUAGGGGGAAUCCAUCUCUGGAAACCGUCCGGCCAUGUCAAGAGCUGGUAAGGUUCUUCGCG